Cavia porcellus (domestic guinea pig) is the source of this 64-nucleotide non-coding RNA. Lineage: Eukaryota; Metazoa; Chordata; Mammalia; Rodentia; Caviidae. The record is from Rfam.
GGGGAUUUAGCUCAGUGGCAUAAGCUCCUGCCUCGUAAGCAGGCAGUUGUGACUUCGAUCCCCG